GCCACCACCAGACACACACACACACACACACACACACAGUGGGUCAGCUGCCUAUUACCUGCACUGACCAUUUGCAUUGUGGGAAACUGAGGCCCAGAACCUGGACUAAAUCACUUUAUGACUCUUGGUUAUAGAUUCAGACUUGGAGAACCUUGCAAGUAAAUAGUUAACCUUGCUUCUGCUAAAUUUUGCUCAUUUUGAUUAGCUUGAGACCCUUCCCAAAUCUCAGUUCAGCCCUUCCUGCCACCACUCAAGCAUGUAGCCCACAAUUUUCCAAGUCUUCCCUAAUAAGUGCACUUUAUUUUGGUCAAAAUUUUAGGAAACAUUUAGUCUCUGUUUUGCUAAGUGAGUUUUCUCUGGGUUACAUAAGGAGAGAACAGACCAGGCUGAAGGGCACACGUGGACCAAGAGACCAGCCGAGGUGCCCGUCUUUUUAUGACUGUUACUUGAUGAAAGGCACAGAGUGCCUUAGUAGUCAGUGAGUGUCUGGCUAUUGUUAUUGAUUAGACUGGACCCACUUUUCCUUAAAUGAACCUUUGUGAGCCUAUUCUAAUUUAUAAAAUGCUCUUGAUGUGAAUGAUCUCACUUGGUUGUUUUCCUCUACCGGGAGUUGGAGGUAGCUGUUACUGAUCAGCCCUGUGGGGAGACUGUGGCUGAGAAGAUUGGCAUGUUGGCCCAGAGCCUUGACCUAAGAAAAGCCCACCUACCCUCACCCUCAGGGGAUUCUUUUUCUGGGCAGCUGCUUCCUGCCAUCUCGUGGCUUGGCUGGGCUUCUGGCAGCCAGGCUUCAGCAUGGGCCACUCAUGUCACAUUCCACACCGACUCUGUCCAUUGAGAGUGCUGCUCCAGGCUCUGAACAGUGGCCAGCUGAGGAUGGAAUAUGGCACCUGUUCACCAGCCACAACAGCUCGACAGCUUUCCAGGUUGAAAAUAGUCACCCUGUCAUCCUGUCACAGUGACCACAGGAAAGGGGAGAGAAUUCACGUCUCCCCAGAUGCAGUUGGCAUUUCCCCACAAGUGCCUGCCAGGCAGAUCAGGCAGGUUAAGCCAAACUCCAGAAGUUGAUCUGGGGCACCUCUGUUUCUUUUGGCCACAGGCCUUCAGUUUUUCUUUCUGAGUCAGCAUUCUUGGGGGCCUGUGAGGACUCUGGUUCAUUGCAUUCAGCUGAUUACAGACUUCUUUGAAACUGGAAAGUAUCAGAUAUCUUCUCCAGGGUUUCAGCCUUGUCCUGAUGGUGUUCACAACCUCCAAGAGCCAACAACAUAUUCUGAGCAUCUACUCUGUAUCUGACACCAUGCUAGGCAUUGGGCAAGCAAAAAUAAAACACCAUUUUUGAUUUUG
This is a long non-coding RNA of Odocoileus virginianus texanus, 1341 nucleotides long. RefSeq lists it as uncharacterized. NCBI's taxonomy places the organism in Eukaryota, Metazoa, Chordata, Mammalia, Artiodactyla, Cervidae. The record is from RefSeq and is a predicted model, not a curated record.